This is a small nuclear RNA of Sorex fumeus (smoky shrew), 104 nucleotides long. The record is from RefSeq and is a predicted model, not a curated record. Lineage: Eukaryota; Metazoa; Chordata; Mammalia; Eulipotyphla; Soricidae.
CCACUUCAGCAGCAAAUAUACUAAACUUGAAACUAUACAGAGAUGAUUAGCAGGGCCCCUGCACCAGGACAACACACAAACACAAGCAAACAAAAGUUCUAUAU